Molecule: long non-coding RNA, 571 nt
Organism: Malaya genurostris
Lineage: Eukaryota; Metazoa; Arthropoda; Insecta; Diptera; Culicidae
Exons: 2
Source: RefSeq, a predicted model, not a curated record
GUGAAAUGUAAACAAAAACAAGAGAUUCGCACUUGAAAUGAAACUACUGAGUUUAGUUGGCCGCUUGCAGUCAGAUACCUCUAGCUUCGGCUAUCAGCUCGAUGCUUCUUUCCAUAAUCUUCUCAAAAUUACGUGUCACAAUAUCAACAUCGUCAGCGAAGUCAAAGAGCUGUACGUACUUUCGGAAGAUCGUGUUGAUCCGCGCUCUUCGAAGCAAUAUUGAACAAGAGACAAAAGAAUCCAAAACCUUGCCGUAGCCCUCUCUGAGACUUGAAACGACUCGAGAGCGUCCCAGAUACUUGGACGUAGCACAUUACUCUCUCCAUCGUUGCUUCGACCAAUCACGUCAAAUUAUACGGAAAUCCGCAUUCGUGCAUAAUCUGCCAUAGCGAUUGUGUCGUAUGUCGCUUUGAAGUCAAUGGCGCGUUGUAUUCUCGACACUUCUGGAGUACUUGUCUCAUAACGAAUAUGUAAUUCGUAGUGGCGUACCGUGCCGGCAACGAAUAUUAUUGACUAACAAAAAUUUGAUUUCGGUUGUUUAAGGCAAUAAAAACUUCUCGUGUGUUAUCUU